AAAGAAAAGAAGAAGAAGAAGAAGAAGAAGAAGAAGAAGUGAAGAAGAAGAAGAAGAAGAGGGUGUCCAGGAGCGUGAAGUAGAGUGCUAUACACAUCCGGUUAGUUGCAAUUUAAGAGUUUUCGGGCGAUCGUGAGGAGAGGGAAAGCACUGGAGUAGCGCUUCUCUUGCCCGAGUCAACGUAGCGAGUUGAGGUGGGUUCCAAGUCGUCGAAAAUGAUGGAUUUC
This is a long non-coding RNA of Ananas comosus (pineapple), 227 nucleotides long. RefSeq lists it as uncharacterized. The transcript has 3 exons. The record is from RefSeq and is a predicted model, not a curated record. NCBI's taxonomy places the organism in Eukaryota, Viridiplantae, Streptophyta, Magnoliopsida, Poales, Bromeliaceae.